RNAcentral lists this long non-coding RNA (1685 nucleotides) under Actinia tenebrosa (Australian red waratah sea anemone). RNAcentral describes it as "uncharacterized LOC116297512". Lineage: Eukaryota; Metazoa; Cnidaria; Anthozoa; Actiniaria; Actiniidae. The record is from RNAcentral.
GAACAGUGUCAAGUGUUUCUUUGGCUAUAAUAUCUGCAAGUUUUGUUCAUAUUUUUGACAUUUUAAACUCUUUAAAUGGCAGGAAAAUCCCCCAAAAGAAAGAGUAUUCACUUCAAAGAAAGGAAGCAAUUUGCCAAUGAUCUCAAGUGGUUAUGAAUCGAGGCAGUCAAUCACAAAGAUAAAUGUAUUUAAAGGAUUGGCAAAAACAUGAAUACGUGAUCUGUAGUUUGCGAUAACAUACCUUGUUGAUGCCAAAUGAAGCAGAGAUGCCAGGAGGUACGGUUAUGCCGUCUUCGUACGGAAAAGGCAUUUGUCCUUGGUGAUUGACAAGAAUCUUGAAGCCGGCGGCUGGUGAAAGUUGGUCAAUGUAGUUCUCCUGAUCGACAAAAAGCCGGAGAGAUAGACCUUGUAAGAUAAAAUGAGAAAUAUAUAGUGUACCUCAACCAUGAUUAUAGUUUCGACUGCAAGUCUUGGCAUUAAGUUACAACUAAACCAGCAAGAGAGUACAACAACAACAGCAUUAGCAAGAACAACAACAACAACAACAACAACAACAACAGUAGCAAGAACAACAACAGCAACAACAACAACAACAACAGUAGCAAGAACAACAACAGCAACAACAACAGCAACAACAACAACACCAACAACAACUACAACAGCAAAUUUAUUCUUUCCUGGUCCAGUAUACUGAAAAUCGUGCGCUCUGAUUGGCUGCGCAAUCCGGCGGGAAUUUUCUAUCUCUGCCCGCGGUUCGCUAUCCUGACUUAAGGCUUACGUCAUUCAAGUGGGCGGUUGGGAAAACGGUUUGUUAAAUGACAAAACAAAUCACAAAACGACCUGUAAACUGUCCUAAAGUCGGUCCAAAAAAACUGUGCCUUCGGUCUUGAAAACAAAACCCCUGGCCUUGCAGCCUUGGUCUGUAUAUUCUAGACCUUGUGUAAAGUUUCCCCUAUCCAGACCGGAACGUCUGGAAAUCACUCUUUUCAAUAUUAAAUUUACUACGAUAAUUAGUAGAAAGCAUCGUUUACCCUGAACAGGUCCCACCAUGUUGGACUUCAGUGUCUUCAUCUUCCCACCAGGAUUAAAUACAAAGCAGUUGCCGUACUUGUAGUGCCAAAAGGUGUUCCAACGAGCAAUGGACGACUGCCUAGAAACAAGAGAACGACAGCAGCAACGACCUCACGGGGAAACAGCAAGAGACAAACCAAAUAGAAGCGCAGAAUUAAAACAACGGAGACGGCAACCAAGUGACAAUAACAGGGAUGUUUUCGAAAGCUACGGCAGCAAUUAACAACUCAGCAGCUGUAGCAAGAGCAACAACAACAACAACAACAAAAAUUAACAGUUACUAUACAAUGCCAUCAGCAACACCAGGAACAUAACGACGGCGAAUAAGGAAACUAUGUGUAUAGGUAAUAGGACUACAUGCUGUCCAAUUUGGAAAUAAUUGGAUGAAAAAAAUUCCGAGGACUGACAAAAUUGGAAGAGACCGACAGGCCGAGUCCAAUUUGGUAGUCAGAGAAAAUUUUUGAAUUCAAUUAUUUCCAAAUUGGACAGACAUGUAGUCCUAUUGCAGAUUAAUUAUUUCAUCCCAAACUUUACUAUACUAGGAAAAUGCGAAUGGAAAUGAUCCAAAUUAAUCUUUAAUUUGGACAGGAAGAGAAUUUGAAGAUAUAUAUAUG